This 494-nucleotide ribosomal RNA is filed under the name uncultured bacterium. Its description in RNAcentral is "partial 16S ribosomal RNA". It matches the Rfam family "Bacterial small subunit ribosomal RNA", at positions 28 to 507 of the family's 1533-position model. The record is from RNAcentral.
GACGAACGCUGGCGGCGUGCUUAACACAUGCAAGUCGAACGGUGAAGCGCCUUCCUUUUUGGUGGGUGUGGAUGAGUGGCGAACGGGUGAGUAACACGUGAGUAACCUGCCCCCUUCUUCUGGAUAACCGCAUGAAAGUGUGGCUAAUACGGGAUAUUCUGGGUCUGUCGCAUGAUGGGUCUGGGAAAGAUAUUGUUUCGGUGGGGGAUGGGCUCGCGGCCUAUCAGCUUGUUGGUGGGGUGAUGGCCUACCAAGGCGGUGACGGGUAGCCGGCCUGAGAGGGUGGACGGACACACUGGGAAUGAGACACGGCCAAGAAUCCUACGGGAGGCAGCAGGGGGGAAUAGUGCACAAGGGGCGCAAGCCUGAUGCAGCGACGCCGGGUGAGGGAUGGAGGCCUUCGGGUUGUGAACCUCUUUCGCCAGUGAAGCAGGCCUGCCUCGUUUGUGGGUGGGUUGACGGUAGCUGGAUAAGAAGCGCCGGCUAACUACGUG